GAUGAACGCUGGCGGCGUGCCUAAUACAUGCAAGUCGAGCGGACGGACGAUAAGCUUGCUCUUUUGAUGUUAGCGGCGGACGGGCGAGUAACGCGUGGAUCACCAACUUAUAUUACGGGGAGAACAUCGGGAAACCGGUGAUAAUAAUGGAUCAUAUUUUGUACCGGAUGGUUCAAAAGUGAUAGACGGUUUUCGCGUCACUUAGAGAUGGAUCCGCGCUGCAUUAGCUAGUUGGUAAGGUAACGGCUUACCAAGGCAACGAUGCAUAGCCGACCUGAGAGGGUGAUCAGCCACACUGGAACUGAGACACGGUCCAGACUCCUACGGGAGGCAGCAGUGGGGAAUAUUGCACAAUGGGCGAAAGCCUGAUGCAGCAACACCGCGUGAGUGAUGAAGGUCUUCGGGUCGUAAAGCCCUGUUAUUGGGAAAGAACAGAUGUAGAAGAAUAUGUCGCUGUUUUGACGGUACCUAAAGAAUAAGCCACGGCUAACUACGUG
Molecule: ribosomal RNA, 497 nt
Filed under: uncultured bacterium
Lineage: Bacteria
Description: partial 16S ribosomal RNA
Rfam family: Bacterial small subunit ribosomal RNA
Source: RNAcentral